Molecule: long non-coding RNA, 226 nt
Filed under: Glycine max (soybean)
Lineage: Eukaryota; Viridiplantae; Streptophyta; Magnoliopsida; Fabales; Fabaceae
Description: long non-coding RNA (GMAX_LNC001121)
Source: RNAcentral
UUCGUACAAACCAUCAAUUCAACCAAUGACUCAAAUUAUCUAUGAUUACCUGAGAUGUAUUAAAAGCAUUUGAAUAAUCGACAUGUCGUUCAUUCACUCCACAUUCUUCUUGAUUAUCAUAAUCAUAAUCCAUAUGAACUUCUUGUGACAUCGCAAAGUCAUACCUCCAUUGAUCUUCGUCCAUCUUAAGGACAUAUGCAUCAUACACAAGUACAUUCAAAUUAUC